UCCCUGAUAGCUCAGUUGGUAAAGAAUCUGCCUGCAACGCAGGAGACCCCAGUUCAAUACCUGGGUUGGGAA
Molecule: transfer RNA, 72 nt
Filed under: Bos taurus (domestic cattle)
Lineage: Eukaryota; Metazoa; Chordata; Mammalia; Artiodactyla; Bovidae
Also listed under: 2 other names
Rfam family: tRNA
About the family: Transfer RNA (tRNA) molecules are approximately 80 nucleotides in length. Their secondary structure includes four short double-helical elements and three loops (D, anti-codon, and T loops).
Source: Rfam by way of RNAcentral